AGCGGCGGACGGGUGAGUAACGCGUGGGUAACCUGCCCUAUACACACGGAUAACAUACCGAAAGGUAUGCUAAUACGAGAUAAUAUAAGAGAUUCACAUGGGUUUCUUAUCAAAGCUGAGGCGGUAUAGGAUGGACCCGCGUCUGAUUAGCUAGUUGGUAAGGUAACGGCUUACCCAGGCGACGAUCAGUAGCCGACCUGAGAAGGUGAUCGGCCACAUUGGAACUGAGACACGGUCCAAACUCCCACGGGAGGCAGCAGUGGGGAAUAUUGCACAAUGGGCGAAAGCCUGAUGCAGCAACGCCGCGUGAGUGAUGAAGGCCUUCGGGUCGUAAAACUCUGUCCUCAAGGAAGAUAAUGACGGUACUUGAGGAGGAAGCCCCGGCUAACUACGUGCCAGCAGCCGCGGUAAUACGUAGGGGGCUAGCGUUAUCCGGAUUUACUGGGCGUAAAGGGUGCGUAGGUGGUCUCUUAAGUCAGGAGUGAAAGGCUACGGCUUAACCGUAGUAAGCUCUUGAAACUGGGAGACUUGAGUGCAGGAGAGGAAAGUGGAAUUCCUAGUGUAGCGGUGAAAUGCGUAGAUAUUAGGAGGAACACCAGUAGCGAAGGCGGCUUUCUGGACUGUAACUGACACUGAGGCACGAAAGCGUGGGGAGCAAACAGGAUUAGAUACCCUGGUAGUCCACGCCGUAAACGAUGAGUACUAGGUGU
This 710-nucleotide ribosomal RNA is filed under the name uncultured bacterium. RNAcentral describes it as "bacterial SSU rRNA". It matches the Rfam family "Bacterial small subunit ribosomal RNA", at positions 94 to 823 of the family's 1533-position model. The record is from RNAcentral.